UGUCACGGUAUGUUCUGUAUUGCUGAGCAAAUCCACCUCAGCUGAAUUUCAGCUACAGAUGAAAAGACACCCAAAUAACAAAUUUACAGCAAUCUUAGACACUUUUGGGACAGAGCCGAUAGGUAACAUUAUCACUGAAACAUGCAUAUGGAAUCUAGCCUUUUAAUAUAUCCCAACCAUUUUAAUGAAGAAGAAAUGAACAAUUACAGAAGAUGUUUGUUCAGUCUGGUCAAUUAAAUGUGCAAGUAUAAAACACUGGGUGGCACGCUUCCAGCAGUCUCUGUUCCUUCUUCUGCAUAACAAGCCUUCCUGAACCAUUUCCCAUCAAACAGUCUGUUUUUCAAUCUUAUCUCUUAAAACAGUGGUUUUCCACUGCCAUCAUAUGAAAGAGUACUGGCUUUCCAAUGGAUCAGCCUCCCUUUAGUAUCUGACAGGACGUGUCUUGUUUCCUUCAAUGCAUUUGAAGAACAGCAUCACUGUUAUGAUCUCCCCACAUGGAAGUCAAGAAUACAACAUCCAUCGUAUUUCCAUUGUAUUUUUCUUUAUACUUCUGGUUACUCAGACAUGCUACAAAGUAGGCCCUUCGCUGGGACAUAGAACGGGUUGCUCCUCCUACCUAGUUGUUGAUGAUUCCUGUGGGGGGAUAGAAUAGAGAUAGUAUAGAAAGUAAUCUUACCCCUAAGGAGUGGCAGCUGGGGCAAUUAUCAAAAUGAGGAGGAGGCCUGACUUCAGCAGGCCACAGCUGUAACUAAUAAGAAAAAGAGCGCUAUAAAAGAGUGGGUUGGUUUGUUAAGAGAACACACCCCAAAGUGGGAAAGGAACUGGAGUCAGUCAGCUACCUGGUGAGAGAAAAAGGGUGUGCUUGGAGGAGCUUCUCAGCAGAAAGCACCAAUAAAGGAUGCUUUCCUGUGUAUCCUUUGAUGGAAGGGGAAGGAGCACUGCAUGGCCCAGGCUCUACUGUCAGACCCAUUGCCUUCAUCCUGAGGUCUCUUAGGUGCUGCUAUGUGCAGGUGGCCACAAGCAGACUGCCCACAAAAGGAAACCUGUAUCCCCACCCAGCUUUCUGGGUUAUAGAAAGGCUGAUCUAUAGUCCUGAAGCAAUGAAGAAGCUGUACACCAAAGCUGGAAAAGUGGCUUACAUUUUAAGAGGAGUUCUCCAAACCUGAAGAUUACAUGCACUGGGGUCUCCAGCUGCUCUGAAGAGCAGCUUCCUGGUUGGAAUGCUGAGUCCAUCAUCCUGCCACCUCUGCCAAGGAGAAAGAGAUGAGCUGGCCUCUUCUUAGAGCUCAUGGAGAAGUGAACUAGCUGUCUGUUGGAAAACCCAGAUUAUUUCAAAAGCAAAAUGUCCAGUUAGGGUGCAAUUCCUGAAGGUGUUUUCCAC
This is a long non-coding RNA of Motacilla alba alba, 1381 nucleotides long. RefSeq lists it as uncharacterized. The record is from RefSeq and is a predicted model, not a curated record. NCBI's taxonomy places the organism in Eukaryota, Metazoa, Chordata, Aves, Passeriformes, Motacillidae. The transcript has 4 exons.